Molecule: ribosomal RNA, 1325 nt
Filed under: metagenome
Description: bacterial LSU rRNA
Rfam family: Bacterial large subunit ribosomal RNA
Source: RNAcentral
AGUGGAUGGGGAGCAACCUAGUUGUGCGUGUGUAAAGGUAGUGCCAAGAAAAGCGGUGAUCAUGAUGAAAAUCAAUUCCCAGUACCCGAAACCGACACAGGUGGGCAAGUAGAGAAUACUAAGGGGCGCGAGGUAACUCUCUCCAAGGAACUCGGCAAAAUGACCCCGUAACUUAGGGAGAAGGGGUGCCACCGAGAGGUGGUCGCAGUGAAGAGGCCCAGGCGACUGUUUAGCAAAAACAUAGGUCUCUGCAAACUCGAAAGAGGAGGUAUAGGGGCUGACGCCUGCCCAGUGCCGGAAGGUUAAAGAAGUUGGUCAGUCUUAGGAUGAAGCUAGCGACUGAAGCCCCGGUGAACGGCGGCCGUAACUAUAACGGUCCUAAGGUAGCGAAAUUCCUUGUCGGGUAAGUUCCGACCCGCACGAAAGGCGUAACGAUCUGGGCGCUGUCUCGGAGAGAGGCUCGGCGAAAUAGGAUUGUCUGUGAAGAUACGGACUACCUGCAUUUGGACAGAAAGACCCUAUGAAGCUUUACUAUAGCUUGGAAUUGUGUUCGGGCUUCCUGUGCGCAGGAUAGGUGGGAGGCGAAGAAGGUAUUCUUGUGGGGAUACUGGAGCCAACGGUGAGAUACCACUCUCAGGAGGCUAGAAUUCUAACUUAAUUAAGGACAGUUUCAGGUGGGUAGUUUGACUGGGGCGGUCGCCUCCAAAAAGGUAACGGAGGCGUACAAAGGUUCCCUCAGACUGGUUGGAAAUCAGUCGCAGAGUGCAAAGGCAGAAGGGAGCUUGACUGCGAGAAGUACAGUUCGAGCAGGGUGGAAACACGGUCUUAGUGAUCCGACGGUGCUGUGUGGAAGGGCCGUCGCUCAACGGAUAAAAGUUACUCUAGGAUAACAGGCUGAUCUCCCCCAAGAGUUCACAUCGACGGGGAGGUUUGGCACCUCGAUGUCGGCUCAUCGCAACCUGGGGCGGAAGUACGUCCCAAGGGUUGGGCUGUUCGCCCAUUAAAGCGGUACGUGAGCUGGGUUCAGAACGUCGUGAGACAGUUCGGUCCAUAUCCGAUGUAGGCGUGAGAAUAUUGAGAGGAGCCUUCCUUAGUACGAGAGGACCGGGAAGGACGCACCGCUGGUGUACCUGUUAUGAUGCCAAUUGUAAACGCAGGGUAGCCAAGUGCGGAGAGGAUAACCGCUGAAAGCAUCUAAGUGGGAAGCCCACCUCAAGAUGAGUAUUCUGGUGUAAGGUCACGGGAAGACGACCCGUAAAUAGGCACGAGGUGGAAGUGCAGAGAUGUAUGAAGCCGAAGUGUACUAAUAGACCGUCGGCUUGACC